GCGCGAGGGCUGUCGCUGACUCGAAGGUCGUGCACGCCCGAGCGCUCUCACGCAUCCGUUUCACCCCUUUGUGCACCGCCGCGUGGGUCGUCCUCCCUCCGAGGGUGGGCGGCUUGCGUUUUUACACAAACCCCCACGUAACGUAACAUUAGAAUGUUUUUACCUUUUGCGGUGACACGCAAUCAAUACAACUUUCAACAACGGAUCUCUUGGCUCUCGCAUCGAUGAAGAACGCAGCGAAAUGCGAUACGUAAUGUGAAUUGCAGAAUUCAGUGAAUCAUCGAAUCUUUGAACGCACCUUGCGCCUCUUGGUAUUCCGAGGGGCACACCCGUUUGAGUGUCGUGACAUCCUCAACCUUCUCGAUCUUUGCGAUCGGGGAAGGCUUGGACUUUGGGGGUUUUAUGCUGGCCUCUCCGGAAGCCAGCUCCCCUUAAAUGGAUUAGUGGGGUUCGCUUUGCCGAUCCUCGACGUUGAUAAGAUGUUUCUACGUCUUGGGUUGGGCACUGUCUUUCGGGAACCUGCUUCUAACCGUCUCGCGAGAGACGACGCGUUUGAACCUUGACCUCAAAUCGGGUGAGACUACCCGCUGAACUUAAGCAUAUCA
RNAcentral lists this ribosomal RNA (605 nucleotides) under Russula sp. YM473. RNAcentral's name for it is "eukaryotic LSU rRNA". The stretch from base 190 to 343 matches the Rfam family "5.8S ribosomal RNA". Lineage: Eukaryota; Fungi; Basidiomycota; Agaricomycetes; Russulales; Russulaceae. The record is from RNAcentral.